GUAUUUACUUUGCUUAGCUUUUACUAUAUCUAUUUUUUUUAAAAAAUGUUUUGUAUAAAUAUAUAUAUAUAUUUUAGGUUAUAAACACCACAAUGGACUGGAGGGUUAUUCUGGCUAUCUUGUGUCUGAUUGCCACAAGUUCCGCAGACAAUUCUACGAGUAAUUCAAAUUCAACAAACACUUCUGCAGUAGCUGCAACAUUCAACUUGGUCUUUAGCAUCAAUGAAACCUUUGUUGAAGAAAUGGCCAAUACCAGCUCUCCACAGUUCACAGCAAAAGCUACAACGAUCCGCCAUCAGCUUGAACCAAUUUACAGACAAACCUUCACAAACUUCAUCCAG
Molecule: long non-coding RNA, 341 nt
Organism: Ictalurus punctatus (channel catfish)
Lineage: Eukaryota; Metazoa; Chordata; Actinopteri; Siluriformes; Ictaluridae
Source: Ensembl